Long non-coding RNA from Triticum dicoccoides, 1100 nucleotides. RefSeq lists it as uncharacterized. The transcript has 2 exons. The record is from RefSeq and is a predicted model, not a curated record. NCBI's taxonomy places the organism in Eukaryota, Viridiplantae, Streptophyta, Magnoliopsida, Poales, Poaceae.
CCUUCUGCCAUAAAAAAAAUCUCUCUCCUUCUUCUCCAUCCCGAUCUAGAUCCCGCCGCCCAAAUCCUCUCCCCUCCCCCCUCCAUGGCGAGCCAGCUCCCCCUUUCCCAGCGAGCCGCGCCGCUAAAACCCUCUCCCGCCCCCAUCGUGGUGCUCCCCAAAGGGCUACCUCCAUCUUAUGCUGCACAAAUACCAGCGAGAUACUGGCGAACCAUCUCCCGCCCCCAUCGUGGUGCUCCCCAAGCCAUGAUCCUCUCCCCUCUUUGCCGUGGUGUAAGUGGUGCGGGGAGGCCCGUGUGCCGUCGAGGGAGAUCUUGGCCGUAAGGGAGUCUGACAUGGACUUUACUGCAAGCAAUGGGCCUUGGAGAUUCCGUCAUGCAUUAUUUAACAAGCUCAGACCUUGCGUCAAUGACAACUGAGAAGGAAGUGUCAGACUUAUCAAAAGGAAACAAUUUAUUCUUUCUUGGCCUUUAGUUUGCAAAUACACUAUUGUUGAGAUACAGAAUGCACGUCAACUGCACAACAAAUUAUCAUGGCUUUCAAUUUUCCAAUAUUUCCACAUAAUUUUGUUUGUAUAAUUUAGUUUGCUUUCCCUUUUCAAAUCUUGCACGUAAUUUUGUUGUCUAACAGAUGGGCCAUGAGUUUGGACUUCACAGUGGCCGCUGCUCAUUCCGCCACCGCGCUGCGUGCCCUCACUGCCGACUGCACCCAGUCCGCCUCCGUUGUGUCCUGCGCUGCGUCGGCAUCCCAUUUCCCGCAGGACCAUGGCCCCGUGGCGUCGACGUCGUCGACCACAGCAAUGCCGACGCUGCCCGGGAUGUGUACUGGGCUGAGGCUCUGUGAUACGAGUAGAUCAUCCAAGAGGAUUCGCACUUGCGCAUAAGUGUUCACAAGUAUUCCCUCCUAAAGAAAUAUAAGAGCGUUUAGAUUACUAAAGUAGUGAUAUAAAUGCUCUUGUAUUUCUUUAAUGAGAGUACUACUAGUAUGAUUUAGGUUGUUGUUGCUGCUCCUUCGAGUUGUGAUAUUUCUGGCGUGAUCUCCAUCCCUGACCAGGAAUGUACAUUUGAAUUUCUGAUUUGAGAUGGAUCAUGGAAUUUAGC